CGCCUCCGCCCCCGCCCGUCGACGACGCGGCCUAAGCGAGUGGCGCGCGUUUACACAAUUCGUUGGCUUGGAGUGCGGAUGGCGCGACGCUCUUUCGUGAAGCGUCUUCUUGUGACGAAGAUCGACGCGCGAACACGUAUCGACAAUUGUUUUUAACACGUCUUCAAACUCAGCUCCGUGAGACUUAGCGGGUUUUAAAACAUUGCAAGUAACGUCCUAUAAUACUACGAGUACACUUAACCAAUGUUUACGUUAGACACUUCGAACUGAGAUUGGAGUGACGAACGGACAGUGACAUAUGGCAAGGAAAAUAUUUAAGUAAAUUACUUUACGGAUAAAUAAAUCAGAAUGAGUAAACGGCGACAAAAAGAUUUUAAAUUUAAAUUUUAUUUUUUAUUUUUUGAUGUGAACUAAUCUCAAAAAGUGUCGGCUAGUGCUAGUGCCUGAUACGAUAUCUGAAGAAGGCGCGACGGAAUUGUGCCUAAAGAAUUUAAAAAAAAAACUUUACACAAAUAAUAAUUUACACUUAGUUAAAAGUUCAGUUCGUGACAUUCAGUCAGCAGAAUAAAUCGAACAAAGAUGACACUUCUGUUAUUCAACAGCUCUGUGAUCACGACGUGCUGGAUGUGUGAUGGUUAAAAAAAAUCGACCGCGUCCAACCUGUUGCACGGAGACAUUUGUCCGCAUCGUGGGACUACGGCGCUGUUUACGUGAUGCCUUAGGUGGACUAACCUUGAGGCUGUACAAGUAAGUUAUCUGGAUAUAUUACUCCCACACGUGACGCAACUGGGAAUCCGUCGUUGGCAUCUUAAGUUUCUUCCAACCCCAGGUUUUUACCCUCGCAUAAACACCUAGGCUACCAGCAUAGGUAGGGAAAACAAAUCGUGCAACCAAAGUCUACCAUCAUCAAAGCGACUUUGACGCCGGAACAGACAGUAUAUAUCUAUCUCUUUCUCGCUGUUUAAAAUAGAAUAUGAAAAUAUCUCGUAGGUUAUAGCUUACGUCAUCGAACAUAUUAGUAUCGAAUUAAGUAAGAUGCCACUAGCGUAAAAUGUCAAAAUAUAAAUAGAAAUAAAAGACAUCUGAUUUUUAAUAAGCUAUACGAAAUUCGUAAUUUGUAUGACUUUGUUUCUUUAUGUGACUGACUGCAUCAGCUAGUGGUAAGUAAACUAUUACGUCAAUUAAUUGAAACUAGAGGUCCCGCAGUAGUCGAAAUUCGACUAUAAUUAAUUGGAAUUGUAAGUUUGUACACUAUUAUGAUUGUAUUUUAUACUUCUAUAAUCACAAAUUUCGGCAAGACUACACUAUAAAAAAUAUUAACAAAGACAAACAAUAUUUAAUCUCAAUUAGACAAAAGACGUCAAGAACAAAGGUUUGACAAUAAAUAGUAUGCAUGCAUGUGUGCGUCAAAUACAUGGUACGUAGUGUGCGUAAUGUUUUCUUUAUUGAUUUAAUGUAUCUUUUAUGCAUUAUUAAAAAAAAAAAUUAGCAUUGUGCACUUCUUCUCUAUAUUCUCUAUAAGUGUGGAAAAUUUCAUACUUCACCGUACGCGCAAUUUUCGUAAAAAGGGAUACAAAGUUUUUGCUUCACGUAUUAAUAUAUAGAUUAAAACCACAGAGAAACACGAACGGUAUGUUGUCAACACAUUUUUCUGAAACAAACAGCUUCCUCUCCAGAUAACAGCGUAGCUAUUUAAAACCGUUCAAGAAUUGACGACACAACUAUUUUUUAAGUAUCAAAACUAUUAACUUAUCUAUACUAACGAUUUUGUGCAGCAUUAACCCGCGCCUUUUAGAUAAAAACAAAAGAAAAACACACAAAACGUAAUUUGGAAAUUUCCCCGGCCCUUGCUACGUAGACCGCUCAAAUUAUAUAUAAAAAAUUUGUUGAAAACUCUUUAUAUUGAUGGUUACGUCGAACAGGUUUUCUAAAGACCGGAUCGACUUCUCUGUGGCAAUGCGCACACACCUUAAUUUACCAUUUAAGAACGCCAAUUCGAAGCUGCCUUCAACGAAAACAAUUCUGACAUUUAAGAAACUUUAUUUUGAUUGUACGUUCAACUAAAGCAAUAUCCAAUAACGCGGCAGCGCCCUUAAAACAAGAUUUCUACUGCAAAAAAUUAUAAAGGACAGCUUAACAAAGAGUUAGGUCGUGCAGGUCGCGUCGGGCAUUGAUCGAAUAUAACAAAAAAAAAAAAAACGCAAAAUCAUCAUCGAUGCAAAAACAUCGUGACUCAUAUUUUUAUACCUUCGCUGUGGCUAAUAAAGGAAAAUUGUUGUUGGCAACACUAACAAGUGUGCCGGUCGAACUUAGCUACCUGUCAUUUGUCAUUUCGCGUGUGACACAGAGGACGUUCACACCAACUGAAAAUGAAAUAUAUAUAAUUUGCACAUCGCAAAUUGUUUACUAUGACGUAUGAAUCAGAAUUAAUGUCCUUUUGUUUUCGUAGCUCGACCUUGUUCGAACACUCACAUAAAUGACAUCGGAAUGAACCUUUUGUGUUUUUGUGGGCAUUUUUUUGUUGUGUCAGUCAUUGUUGGUUCGUUAGUGAUGCAAAUAUGUACGUUUUGCAAAAAAAAAAAAAAACUAAGAAGCAAACGGAUUCCAACUAGUAUAAACAGUUGACCGUGACAAGGUCGCGAGGAUUUUGAACUUGGAGAUAUCAGAAAAAAAUUGAAAAAUUUGAAUGUUGCAUUCGACUCGGCUGAUUGAUGGGAUCCCUUUGCACGCGAUUGAAUCUUUUGUUAAUUUUUUUACCGUCAAUCCAUUCACGUUGUUUUUUUCUUCUUAUUGUUUUAGUUUCGAGAAGUUUUUUUGUUUUAACCGCAGAUCUUAAAUUCAGAUACAACAUCUCGUGGUCAGGGCAACGGAUAAUUGUAAUGAAGCGUAAUUUUACGUUUACCGAUCCGGAUAAUCUCGACAAACGGGCUAAAUGAAUUUACAAGAAAAACAACCUAUAAUUACGAAGCAUCUUUCGAAUAUCGAAAUUAUUUCAACAUUUUCGUAAAAUGAUCAUUUAAGUGAAGCAUUGAUUUACGAAUAUCAGGUGUAACGAAACUAUGGAGGGUCGAAGCAUGGAGUAGGUACCAUGUCAGUGUAUUAAAAAGCGUCCGCUGAAAGGGAGCAAAUUAAUGUGGCGCCAUACUUAGUAAAUUGUUUUUUUUUAAAACAGCGUCAUGAACUACCACACUUCAAUUCCAUCCAGUACACUUCACUCUAUUCAAAAUUGCUAUAUUCAUAUAAUUUCCACUUCCAAUGACUCUUCCAACAAUAAUUUUUUGUUUACAUGUAAACACUUUUUCAACACGUCCCUUAAAUAAGAUGAUAUUCCUUACCUCUACCUACCAGAAACUAAACCAACCAUUCCUUUUUUGCUUCAACUAUCUAUCAGCUUGAAAAUCGAGAGCCACGUCUUCACGCAGAAUUAAAUUACUAAAUGACUAGAUAGUGCAGUUUCGUAGAAAACAACCAUGCAUGUAUGUACUAUAUUAACAUAUGAGACUGUCAGCGCAAAAGUGGUCUAACCCACAAUUUUUUAUAUUCGCGUUUAUUUAUUUAAAAUAUAAUACAUUUUAAUGCAAAACCGGCCUAUCCCUAGUCUCACCCAUAGAGGACAGAUGGCUUUGUAAACAUUAUUUUUGUACGUAUUGUUUUUGCCUACGAAGCAGUGUAAAAGUUAAUUCCAACCUCCAAUCUCCAUACUAACUAUGAUAAGCUUAGGACACUUUGGCGCUGACUGCCUCAUGUAUCCUAACGCCCCCGAUAUCCGCUAUGCAUAAUCGUGACACGGCCUUACAGUAUUGUCUCGGCGCGUGUGACUCAAUCCCUUGUACUUAUCACAAUACCUGUCUUUGUGCAUUGUCCCACGGACCUUAACGUUACAUAUUUUGUAAUUAGUCAACUAUUUUCAACUGAAUCACCCAUUCUCAUUUAGGAGUAUCACGACACAAGGCAACAUGUAGAUAAUUUAAAUCGACGAAAGAGUUUCAGUGUAUUUUGAUAAUUAAUAUUAAUUUAAUGAAACCUCCUUGGUUGAGCGGACUGUUUCUGUGUGGUUUUGAUGCCAAUUUAAAACCAAGAUGCCAAAGAAGUAAGUACAAUUUCGCGCCAUUUUUACUGUCGCUUUUGUAAUUAAAAUAUCAAUUGCCAAAACUAUACAAACGAAUACAUUAAGUGGCGAUUUGGUUCAAUUAUGUUCAUGUCUUUACUAUACUAAUAAACCAUAAUAAUAUUUACUUGCUUUAUUUAAAAAGCUAAAGUGCUCGAUCUUAGACCAGACACAAAAAGUUAAAUUAAAAAAAAAA
This is a long non-coding RNA of Bombyx mori (domestic silkworm), 4304 nucleotides long. RefSeq lists it as uncharacterized. The transcript is spliced from 4 exons. The record is from RefSeq and is a predicted model, not a curated record. NCBI's taxonomy places the organism in Eukaryota, Metazoa, Arthropoda, Insecta, Lepidoptera, Bombycidae.